RNAcentral lists this ribosomal RNA (744 nucleotides) under uncultured bacterium. RNAcentral's name for it is "bacterial SSU rRNA". It matches the Rfam family "Bacterial small subunit ribosomal RNA", at positions 8 to 796 of the family's 1533-position model. The record is from RNAcentral.
AGAGUUUGAUCAUGGCUCAGAACGAACGCUGGCGGCAGGCUUAACACAUGCAAGUCGAACGCUCGUAGCAAUACGGGAGUGGCAGACGGGUGAGUAACGCGUGGGAACAUACCCUCCGGUUCGGAAUAGCUCAGGGAAACUUGGAUUAAUACCGGAUACGGCCGAGAGGCGAAAGAUUUAUCGCCGGAGGAUUGGCCCGCGUUCGAUUAGCUAGUUGGUGAGGUAACGGCUCACCAAGGCGAUGAUCGAUAGCUGGUCUGAGAGGAUGAUCAGCCACAUUGGGACUGAGACACGGCCCAAACUCCUACGGGAGGCAGCAGUGGGGAAUAUUGGACAAUGGGCGCAAGCCUGAUCCAGCCAUGCCGCGUGAGUGAUGACGGCCUUAGGGUUGUAAAGCUCUUUCGCUCGGGACGAUAAUGACGGUACCGAGAUAAGAAGCCCCGGCUAACUUCGUGCCAGCAGCCGCGGUAAUACGAAGGGGGCUAGCGUUGUUCGGAAUUACUGGGCGUAAAGCGCGUGUAGGCGGGUCUUUAAGUCAGGGGUGAAAUGCCAAGGCUCAACCUUGGAACUGCCUUUGAUACUGGAGAUCUUGAGUCCGAGAGAGGUGAGUGGAAUUGCGAGUGUAGAGGUGAAAUUCGUAGAUAUUCGCAAGAACACCAGUGGCGAAGGCGGCUCACUGGCUCGGAACUGACGCUGAGACGCGAAAGCGUGGGGAGCAAACAGGAUUAGAUACCCCGGUAGUCC